This 73-nucleotide transfer RNA is filed under the name Blautia sp. BCRC 81119. RNAcentral's name for it is "tRNA-Cys". It matches the Rfam family "tRNA". From Rfam's summary of the family: Transfer RNA (tRNA) molecules are approximately 80 nucleotides in length. Their secondary structure includes four short double-helical elements and three loops (D, anti-codon, and T loops). The record is from RNAcentral. RNAcentral also lists the same sequence under 4 other names. Lineage: Bacteria; Bacillati; Bacillota; Clostridia; Lachnospirales; Lachnospiraceae.
GAUGACGUCGCCAAGUGGUUUAAGGCAGCAGACUGCAACUCUGCCACCGUGAGUCCGAAUCUCACCGUCAUCU